UGCCAAGAUGCUACCACCUGGGCACAGGUC
Molecule: non-coding RNA, 30 nt
Filed under: Mus musculus (house mouse)
Lineage: Eukaryota; Metazoa; Chordata; Mammalia; Rodentia; Muridae
Also listed under: 1 other name
Source: RNAcentral